ACGAUACGUAGCCGACCUGAGAGGGUGAUCGGCCACACUGGAACUGAGACACGGUCCAGACUCCUACGGGAGGCAGCAGUAGGGAAUCUUCCGCAAUGGGCGAAAGCCUGACGGAGCAACGCCGCGUGAGUGAUGAAGGUCUUCGGAUCGUAAAGCUCUGUUGUUAGGGAAGAACAAAUGUGUAAGUAACUAUGCACAUCUUGACGGUACCUAACCAGAAAGCCACGGCUAACUACGUGCCAGCAGCCGCGGUAAUACGUAGGUGGCAAGCGUUAUCCGGAAUUAUUGGGCGUAAAGCGCGCGUAGGCGGUUUUUUAAGUCUGAUGUGAAAGCCCACGGCUCAACCGUGGAGGGUCAUUGGAAACUGGAAAACUUGAGUGCAGAAGAGGAAAGUGGAAUUCCAUGUGUAGCGGUGAAAUGCGCAGAGAUAUGGAGGAACACCAGUGGCGAAGGCGGCUUUCUGGUCUGUAACUGACGCUGAUGUGCGAAAGCGUGGGGAUCAAACAGGAUUAGAUACCCUGGUAGUCCACGCCGUAAACGAUGAGUGCUAAGUGUUAGGGGGUUUCCGCCCCUUAGUGCUGCAGCUAACGCAUUAAGCACUCCGCCUGGGGAGUACGGUCGCAAGACUGAAACUCAAAGGAAUUGACGGGGACCCGCACAAGCGGUGGAGCAUGUGGUUUAAUUCGAAGCAACGCGAAGAACCUUACCAAAUCUUGACAUCUUUUGACCACUCUAGAGAUAGAGUUUUCCUCUUCGGAGGACAAAAUGACAGGUGGUGCAUGGUUGUCGUCAGCUCGUGUCGUGAGAUGUUGGGUUAAGUCCCGCAACGAGCGCAACCCUUGAGCUUAGUUGCCAUCAUUAAGUUGGGCACUCUAAGUUGACUGCCGGUGACAAACCGGAGGAAGGUGGGGAUGACGUCAAAUCAUCAUGCCCCUUAUGAUUUGGGCUACACACGUGCUACAAUGGACAAUACAAAGGGCAGCAAAACCGCGAGGUCAAGCAAAUCCCAUAAAGUUGUUCUCAGUUCGGAUUGUAGUCUGCAACUCGACUACAUGAAGCUGGAAUCGCUAGUAAUCGUAGAUCAGCAUGCUACGGUGAAUACGUUCCCGGGUCUUGUACACACCGCCCGUCACACCACGAGAGUUUGUAACACCCGAAGCCGGUGGAGUAACCAUUUGGAGCUAGCCGUCGAAGGUGGGACAAAUGAUUGGGGUGAAGUCGUAACAAGGUAGCCGUAUCGGAAGGUGCGGCUGGAUCACCUCCUUU
This 1266-nucleotide ribosomal RNA is filed under the name Staphylococcus chromogenes. RNAcentral describes it as "bacterial SSU rRNA". It matches the Rfam family "Bacterial small subunit ribosomal RNA", at positions 276 to 1533 of the family's 1533-position model. Lineage: Bacteria; Bacillati; Bacillota; Bacilli; Caryophanales; Staphylococcaceae. The record is from RNAcentral.